RNAcentral lists this ribosomal RNA (459 nucleotides) under uncultured bacterium. Its description in RNAcentral is "partial 16S ribosomal RNA". It matches the Rfam family "Bacterial small subunit ribosomal RNA", at positions 338 to 795 of the family's 1533-position model. The record is from RNAcentral.
CCUACGGGUGACUGCAGUGAGGAAUAUUGGUCAAUGGGCGGGAGCCUGAACCAGCCAAGCCGCGUGAGGGAAGAAGGUACAGCGUAUCGUAAACCUCUUUUGUCAGGGAACAAAGGCGGGGACUAGUCGGCGGAUGAGGGUACCUGAAGAAAAAGCACCGGCUAACUCCGUGCCAGCAGCCGCGGUAAUACGGAGGAUGCGAGCGUUAUCCGGAUUUAUUGGGUUUAAAGGGUGCGCAGGCGGCCUUUUAAGUCAGCGGUAAAAGCCCGGGGCUCAACCCCGGCGAGCCGUUGAAACUGGCGGGCUGGAGUUGGCGAGAGGUAUGCGGAAUGCGUGGUGUAGCGGUGAAAUGCUUAGAUAUCGCGCAGAACCCCGAUUGCGAAGGCAGCGUACCGGUUCCCAACUGACGCUGAGGCACGAAAGCGUGGGUAUCGAACAGGAUUAGAUACCCGAGUAGUC